RNAcentral lists this ribosomal RNA (260 nucleotides) under uncultured bacterium. Its description in RNAcentral is "partial small subunit ribosomal RNA". It matches the Rfam family "Bacterial small subunit ribosomal RNA", at positions 26 to 285 of the family's 1533-position model. The record is from RNAcentral.
AGGACGAACGCUGGCGGCGUGCUUAACACAUGCAAGUCGAACGGUGAACCUUCCUUCGGGAGGGGGAUCAGUGGCGAACGGGUGAGUAACACGUGAGCAACCUGCCUCUAGCUCUGGAAUAACCCCGGGAAACCGGGGCUAAUACCGGAUACGGGACCGAUGGGCAUCUCUACGGUCUGGAAAGUUUUUUCGGCUAGAGAUGGGCUCGCGGCCUAUCAGCUUGUUGGUGGGGUAACGGCCCACCAAGGCGACGACGGGUA